This 432-nucleotide ribosomal RNA is filed under the name Blattella vaga (field cockroach). RNAcentral describes it as "partial 12S ribosomal RNA". Lineage: Eukaryota; Metazoa; Arthropoda; Insecta; Blattodea; Blattellidae. The record is from RNAcentral.
UACUAUGUUACGACUUAUCUCAGCUUAAAAAAAUAAUGAGAGCGACGGGCGAUGUGUGCAUAUUCUAGAGCUCAAAUCAUAUUAACAAUCUUAAUAAUAUUACUAUUAAAUCCACCUUCAUAUAAUCAAUUCCAGAUAAUAAUCCAUUUAUUAAAUCAAUAUUGUAAUCCAUCUCCUCUUAAUUAUAAACUGCACCUUGACCUGAAAAAUUAUCUAAUAAAUAUUAUAAAAAUAACUCUUAAAAGAUCUUCAAAAACGGCGGUAUACAUGCUAAAUAAAUUAAGUAAGGUCCAACGUGGAUUAUCGAUUAUGGGACAGAUUCCUCUAAAUAGACUAGAAUACCGCCAAAUUCUUUAAGUUUCAAGACCAUAACUAAUACUACUCAAAGUCAAUUAAUUUUCAUAAAAAUAAUAGGGUAUCUAAUCCUAGUUU